This is a small nucleolar RNA of Anser brachyrhynchus (Pink-footed goose), 131 nucleotides long. Ensembl annotates it as small nucleolar RNA, H/ACA box 24. Its record names the gene SNORA24B. The record is from Ensembl. Lineage: Eukaryota; Metazoa; Chordata; Aves; Anseriformes; Anatidae.
CUCCAUGUCUCCAUGGGGGCUGCCGCCCGUGGCUGUCCCCCUUCCUAGGCAUGGCAGAGCAGCUCCUUGCUAAUUGGCAAAGCUCCUACCAGCGCGUUGGUAGCAGUCGUUGACUGUAGCGAGGAACACGG